UUUAAUUAGGCCUAAAUAAAAAAGCCAUGUGAAGCCCGAAGAUACUGCAUAUAUGAGAUUUGUCAAGCCAUUCUUCCCACCACCAAUGCCUGAACACGACCUCAUUUAUCUUGAUCAAUGAAGCUCAAGGAAGCAUUGCACUUUGGCUUCUGCUUUAAGUACCCCCUGGUUUUGCUAGGUGGCGCCAUAGGCUAAUGCAUGGGUCUUCCUCGGCUGCCCGGGCGGCCUCCUUCGCUGAGGCAGGAAAAACGGCUUCUGCGGUUCCCUUGGAGUUUAAGAUCCUCAGACCAGCCCAUGGGAGUGAUAUUCAGAGUCAACAGGAAAUUAAUCAGCAAGUAGAAAAUUGAAAGAAGAUCUGCAUCUCGCUGCAGGAGUCAUUAAAAUAAAAGCAGAUUUGGCAAAAUGGCAAGCAGCAACAAAUACUGCGUAUGUACGGAGUGCACCAGGCACGAUGCUAAUGUGCUCGGCAUACGUUAUCUUUUUGGUUCUACAACAACCCAGUGGAGGAAGACUUCUCAAACACAAUUUAAGGAUGAGGAAAUGAAGGCACAGAGCAAUUAUUCAACUUGUCUAAGGCCACACGGCUACUAAGAAUCAUUGCCAGAAUGUAUCUCCAAUUUUAUUUGUCUCCGUUGCCAAGGUUUUGACCGCCAUGUGACGACGACGCCUUUCCUCUUUUCAUGGAUAUCCGGAGAGCACCUUGGACAGCCACCUAAGUCUUAUGACCACCCCUCCCAGUUUUGGAUCAUCAGAGCUGUUGUCAGAAUGUCUUCACGGGGGUCUCCCAACCUUCUAUUUUUCCUUUGAAGUUGGAAAAUCUACCUCCAGAUGUUGAAAGCUCAUAUCUAACUGAGCUAAUGAGAGUCCUCCAUUUUCCAAAAAGCUUAAGCUGCCACUUGCUUUUAGUUGCUAUUUUCUUAACUAACUAGUUUGUCCUGAUGGAUCAAAAUUAAGGGCUUUUGAUAAGGAGAACAGUUAUUCUAUUUUUUUUCAAACUUCUGGGAGAUGAAGCCACAUGAAGAAUUUAUUGUAUUGUUGUUCUUUGCUGACCUUACCCUGAUUUUACCACAUAAUAAAGUGCUUUGAGUUCUGCAUUCUACUGGUUACUUUGGGUUUUGUUUGUUUGUUCGUUGUUAACCACAACUGAACUUUAAGUCUGGGAAUAGUUUCCAAGUUUCUGGAAAUAGUAAGUGGCUCCCCUGUCCUUCUGAUGUUGCUAUAGAUCAGUUUUGAAGAGAAAUCCAACCUCAAAACCUUCUUUGAUUCCUCUAUCUCACUUG
RNAcentral lists this long non-coding RNA (1280 nucleotides) under Aotus nancymaae (Ma's night monkey). Its description in RNAcentral is "lncRNA (ENSANAG00000039397.1)". The record is from RNAcentral. Lineage: Eukaryota; Metazoa; Chordata; Mammalia; Primates; Aotidae.